CAGUAGCCGCGGUAAUACGAGGGGGGCAAGCGUUGUUCGGAAUUAUUGGGCGUAAAGGGUGCGUAGGCGGCUUGACAAGUCUUGUGUGAAAUCUAUGGGCUCAACCCAUAGUCUGCACGGGAAACUGUCGGGCUUGAGAAUGGGAGAGGUGAGUGGAAUUUCCGGUGUAGCGGUGAAAUGCGUAGAUAUCGGAAGGAACACCUGUGGCGAAAGCGGCUCACUGGACCAUUUCUGACGCUGAUGCACGAAAGCUAGGGGAGCAAACAGGAUUAGAUACCCCGGUAGUCCCUGUCUCUUAUAC
Molecule: ribosomal RNA, 301 nt
Filed under: uncultured bacterium
Lineage: Bacteria
Description: partial 16S ribosomal RNA
Rfam family: Bacterial small subunit ribosomal RNA
Source: RNAcentral